RNAcentral lists this ribosomal RNA (416 nucleotides) under uncultured microorganism. RNAcentral describes it as "bacterial SSU rRNA". It matches the Rfam family "Bacterial small subunit ribosomal RNA", at positions 9 to 420 of the family's 1533-position model. The record is from RNAcentral.
GAGUUUGAUCAUGGCUCAGAGUGAACGCUGGCGGUAGGCCUAACACAUGCAAGUCGAACGGCAGCACAGUAAGAGCUUGCUCUUAUGGGUGGCGAGUGGCGGACGGGUGAGGAAUACAUCGGAAUCUACUUUUUCGUGGGGGAUAACGUAGGGAAACUUACGCUAAUACCGCAUACGACCUACGGGUGAAAGCAGGGGAUCUUCGGACCUUGCGCGAUUGAAUGAGCCGAUGUCGGAUUAGCUAGUUGGCGGGUAAAGGCCCACCAAGGCGACGAUCCGUAGCUGGUCUGAGAGGAUGAUCAGCCACACUGGAACUGAGACACGGUCCAGACUCCUACGGGAGGCAGCAGUGGGGAAUAUUGGACAAUGGGCGCAAGCCUGAUCCAGCCAUACCGCGUGGGUGAAGAAGGCCUCGG